Long non-coding RNA from Cyprinus carpio carpio, 956 nucleotides. The record is from Ensembl. Lineage: Eukaryota; Metazoa; Chordata; Actinopteri; Cypriniformes; Cyprinidae.
GAGAAGGUGACAGCGAUAAGACGUGGUUUUAUUGUUGUUGACAGACAUAUGUACAGUGAGACAAAACGAUGAGCGCAUCUGCAUCGAAGGUGAAGCCCUCAGAGUCGGUAGUUUGUAUCUGCGUCCUUUUUGUGCAAUACAUCCUGUAUCCAACUAAUGCAGAGUAUAUUCAAGUUGCAAACACACUGGUUGUGAAGUACCCUUUCCAGAGAAAUAUAAAAGGAAAUGACUGUGAAACUUGUGUUGAGGAGGAUUCAGUGUCUGUUGAGGCCCAUGUGAAUGUGCUACAAAGUGAGUAUCAGAAAACACACCUUGACUGUCAAAGACCACACAGCAGGAACAUUCUCCCGGAGACGUGGAAAAAGCACGGAAGGAAUGUCUGUGGAGGAUGUACUCAAACACACCCAUACUUAAGGACACCUGCUGGAGGGACCCUGCUUAACUCUUUCCUACCAUACAGCUGAUGGAUACUGACUGUAAAAUGGUAAUCAUAGGAGGAGGGCUCAGUGUGGUGACAGAAGAUGGAAUAGACGUGUGCCAGUGCACCAGCCUUGAUCAAGCCUUCAUACCAGCCUUCUGGAUGUAUUUUGCUUUCAAAAUUGCAUAUCCAACACACCUGAGAAAGACAAUGACUUUCCUUCAGAGGCACAUUGUCAACAUUAGAAGAUGGAGACAACACUGCCAGUAUCAUUGACUGGAAGUCUGUCAGUCCAGAUGUGAGGAAGACAUACAGAGUGGCUGUAGAUACUGUGGUCUUGGAAAGAAGGGGGUCUUCACAGCUUUCUAUUCAGACAAAGAGUUUGCUGGAUUCUGUUCUGUGGACUGCUACUACAGAAUGAAUGAAUGAAUGAAUAAGUGGUUUAUCUAUCUAUCUAUCUAUCUAUCUAUCUAUCUAUCUAUCUAUCUAUCUAUCUAUCUAUUUAUCUAUCUGUCUAUCCAUCUAUCUAUCUUUUACU